GGGAGGCUUUGAAUAUUAGGACAGAGUCCUUGCGCUGAACUCUGCAUUCACUGGAGAUCCAGCACCAGGUCAAUGUGUUCAUGGAACCUGUGCUAACAAACAGAUGGACUGCUGCACUUCGUACCAGCUGAAGCUUUUAACAGGGCUCAUACAGGCUGAGAAGACAGAAAUGGUGUUUUUUCUUUCUUCAUGUCUUAAUUUGUCGUUCCCUUAAAGCAAAUCAAGAAAGAAGACCACUAAAAGAAUCACUUGUUGAGCAAGCGAUAGGAGCGUUCCAGUGACUGCCACGGACAGAAAGAAGGAACUGAGGAGGGAACGGGCUGGCAGGUGCCGAUACACCGUGCUAUGGAGGCACCACUCCAGGGGGCACCAGAGACAACCCGACGGAUACCACUAGGGGAAAAAAGUCUUCCAGCAAUGGUGCACGCAACACAGGCACGCUUAUAUUGGAAUGGUCAUGAGCAACACAUCUCAAAGAAGAACAAUCUGUUCCGCCUUACAUUUUGCUUUGACACUGGGAGUUCCUCUCCCAGACCUGAAGAACAGCUCUGUGUGGUCAAAUGCUUCUCUCUCACCAACAGAAAUUGGUCCAGUCAAAGAUAUUACCUCACCGACCUUGAUAUCUGUCUCUGGAAAUAUCUCCUCAUUCAUGUUUUAGUAACAGCCGGCUGGAGUCAGAAAGGCCUGAAUCUCAAGAGUUCAGGGCCAGAUUUUCAAGUGUUCAGUACUCACAAUUGCAAAGGCCCAAUUUUCAAAAGAGCUCAGGACCUAUUUACUCACCUAAGUAAGGAACACAUUUUGAAAAGUGUUCAACACCAGAAGUUCCCAUUGUGACAUUCAUAGCCAGAUUGUAGAAAAGGGAUCAGCACUCAAUAUACUGAGCUCUUUUGAAAAUCUGGCCACGAAUUUUGGUGCGUAAAUGAUUGCUGAGCUUUUUUGAAAGUCUGGACCUAAAUCUAGGCCCAAGUUUGAAAAAGAAAAAAAUCCCAACCAAUAUUGGUGGCAUUGAAGUUUGGCUACAGACUGGGGUUUGACUCAUUACUAAGCCAUAUAACCUAUGCUGAUGUUCAACUACUUAUUUAUGACCUGAUUUUCAGAAAUGCAGGCAUCUUUUCAUGCUUUUGACUUGUGCGUGCAAACUCCAAUAUGUGCAUAUAGUCCUUAUUUGCAUGUGUGGAGGUAUACUUGUCUCUGUAAAAAUCAGAAGUGGCACAUGCAUCAGAGUUUUGUAUGUUCAAGGUUAGGCACAUGAAACUGUGAGUGUGAGAACUUCUGCAUAUGCAUUUUGCUAAUCAGUCUCAUAGCCAGGAAAAAAAAAUGGAUUUUUCUUUUCAUACAGUUGAUAUGUUGCUGUACGACCCCCAACUUUUGUGUUUCCUGCCUUUUUUCUUUUAACUUUAACAUUUAAU
Long non-coding RNA from Caretta caretta (loggerhead turtle), 1409 nucleotides. RefSeq lists it as uncharacterized. The record is from RefSeq and is a predicted model, not a curated record. NCBI's taxonomy places the organism in Eukaryota, Metazoa, Chordata, Testudines, Cheloniidae.